This 238-nucleotide ribosomal RNA is filed under the name uncultured bacterium. RNAcentral describes it as "partial 16S ribosomal RNA". It matches the Rfam family "Bacterial small subunit ribosomal RNA", at positions 100 to 334 of the family's 1533-position model. The record is from RNAcentral.
CCGGCACGGGUGAGUAACACGUAUCCAACCUGCCGUCUACUCUUGGACAGCCUUCUGAAAGGAAAGAUUAAUACAAGAUGGCAUCAUGAGUCCGCAUGUUCACAUGAUUAAAGGUAUUCCGGUAGACGAUGGGGAUGCGUUCCAUUAGAUAGUAGGCGGGGUAACGGCCCACCUAGUCUUCGAUGGAUAGGGGUUCCGAGAGGAAGGUCCCCCACAUUGGAACUGAGACACGGUCCAA